CAGCCGCCGCGGUAAUACAGAGGGUGCGAGCGUUAAUCGGAUUUACUGGGCGUAAAGCGUGCGUAGGCGGCUUCUUAAGUCGGAUGUGAAAUCCCUGAGCUUAACUUAGGAAUUGCAUUCGAUACUGGGAAGCUAGAGUAUGGGAGAGGAUGGUAGAAUUCCAGGUGUAGCGGUGAAAUGCGUAGAGAUCUGGAGGAAUACCGAUGGCGAAGGCAGCCAUCUGGCCUAAUACUGACGCUGAGGUACGAAAGCAUGGGGAGCAAACAGGAUUAGAUACCCCCGUAGUCCAUGUCUCUUAUAA
RNAcentral lists this ribosomal RNA (301 nucleotides) under uncultured bacterium. RNAcentral describes it as "partial 16S ribosomal RNA". It matches the Rfam family "Bacterial small subunit ribosomal RNA", at positions 509 to 809 of the family's 1533-position model. The record is from RNAcentral.